UACGUAGGGUGCGAGCGUUAAUCGGAAUUACUGGGCGUAAAGCGUGCGCAGGCGGUUCGUUGUGUCGGCGGUGAAAGCCCCGGGCUCAACCUGGGAACUGCAUUUGUGACUGCAUGGCUAGAGUUUGGCAGAGGGGGGUAGAAUUCCACGUGUAGCAGUGAAAUGCGUAGAGAUGUGGAGGAAUACCGAUGGCGAAGGCAGCCCCCUGGGUCAAGACUGACGCUCAUGCACGAAAGCGUGGGGAGCAAACAGG
RNAcentral lists this ribosomal RNA (253 nucleotides) under uncultured bacterium. RNAcentral's name for it is "partial 16S ribosomal RNA". It matches the Rfam family "Bacterial small subunit ribosomal RNA", at positions 524 to 776 of the family's 1533-position model. The record is from RNAcentral.